UGAAGAGUCAGAAUGUGCACUACCGCAUU
RNAcentral lists this small RNA (29 nucleotides) under Bombyx mori (domestic silkworm). RNAcentral describes it as "piRNA piR-bmo-1307870". The record is from RNAcentral. Lineage: Eukaryota; Metazoa; Arthropoda; Insecta; Lepidoptera; Bombycidae.